GAUGAACGCUGGCGGCGUGCCUAAUACAUGCAAGUCGAGCGAACAGACGAGGAGCUUGCUCCUCUGACGUUAGCGGCGGACGGGUGAGUAACACGUGGAUAACCUACCUAUAAGACUGGGAUAACUUCGGGAAACCGGCGCUAAUACCGGAUAAUAUAUUGAACCGCAUGGUUCAAUAGUGAAAGACGGUUUUGCUGUCAGUUCUAGAUGGAUCUGCGCCGCAUUAGCUAGUUGGUAAGGUAACGGCUUACCAAGGCAACGAUGCGUAGCCGACCUGAGAGGGGGUUCGGCCACACGGGAGCUGAGACGCGGUCCAUACGCCUACGGGAGGCAGCAGUAUGGAAUCUUCCGCAGUGGUCGAGAGCCUUACGGAGCAACGGCGCGUGAGUGAUGAAGGUCUUCGGAUCGGAAAACUCUGUUAUUAGUGAAGAACAAAUUUGUAAGUAGCUAUGCACGUCUUGACGGUACCGAAUCAGAAAGCCACGGCUAACUACGUG
This 497-nucleotide ribosomal RNA is filed under the name uncultured bacterium. RNAcentral's name for it is "partial 16S ribosomal RNA". It matches the Rfam family "Bacterial small subunit ribosomal RNA", at positions 28 to 507 of the family's 1533-position model. The record is from RNAcentral.